GCUCUCACAGAGCCCGGAUGUAGUCAGCCUUGCCCAGCAGCCUCCAGGAGUUCCUGUGCACCCUAUUUUUCUCAAUACCACAGUAUCACUAAAGGUCUGAACUGGAACAUAUCAAGAAGACACACGAGAAGGUCAAGGUGAUGGAGCUCUUGGCUGGUUAUCCACCUCACAAAGAGCCAAUCAGCAAAGCUUGAAUGACCUGUGUUUUCAUCUCUGACUCCUCUGCUCGGAGGCAUCAGUAAGUAGGUAGGUCCCAACUUCCCCAGGAAGUGAAGCUGUUCAUACUCACAAAGCAUAUUCUGUGAAGCCCCUGGAUCUGUAGCGUGAGUCAGGCCCACCACGUGACAAAGCCUCUGAUGGAGGCUGGGCGCC
RNAcentral lists this long non-coding RNA (372 nucleotides) under Rattus norvegicus (Norway rat). Its description in RNAcentral is "long non-coding RNA NONRATT031706". Lineage: Eukaryota; Metazoa; Chordata; Mammalia; Rodentia; Muridae. The record is from RNAcentral.